AUCAGCAAAGGGUUUGUACUAUGAUGAAAAGUGGAGUAUGGAGCACCGAUGUAAACAAGGGCAACUUCUGAUGAUUGAGCCAAUUAGAGAAGAACCGGAAGUAAAAGAGUUGGACUCCGAUCAUAAAGGUAUGAAAACUGAUGAAGAUAUUGAAGACAUCACACAUAUAGUGCAUGCAUUGGCUAGUUAUGCUAACCCACAAACUAUGAAAAUCGGAGGAACUUU
Molecule: long non-coding RNA, 225 nt
Filed under: Musa acuminata (dwarf banana)
Lineage: Eukaryota; Viridiplantae; Streptophyta; Magnoliopsida; Zingiberales; Musaceae
Description: long non-coding RNA (MACU_LNC011408)
Source: RNAcentral